RNAcentral lists this ribosomal RNA (379 nucleotides) under uncultured bacterium. Its description in RNAcentral is "bacterial SSU rRNA". It matches the Rfam family "Bacterial small subunit ribosomal RNA", at positions 790 to 1167 of the family's 1533-position model. The record is from RNAcentral.
GUAGUCCACGCUGUAAACGAUGGGCACUAGGUGUCGGCUGUCAUGGUCGGCGCCGUAGCUAACGCAUUAAGUGCCCCACCUGGGAAGUACGACCGCAAGGUUGAAACUCAAAGGAAUUGACGGGGGCCCGCACAAGCGGUGGAGUAUGUGGUUUAAUUCGAUGCAACGCGAAGAACCUUACCUGGGCUUGACAUGCUGGUUACCAACCUGAAAGGGAAGGGAUCCCGGCUUGCCGGGAAGCCAGCACAGGUGCUGCAUGGCUGUCGUCAGCUCGUGUCGUGAGAUGUUGGGUUAAGUCCCGCAACGAGCGCAACCCUUAUCUCUAGUUGCCAUCAGGUUAUGCUGGGCACUCUAGUGAGACUGCCGGUUAUAAGCCGGA